GUUCACGAGACAGACCCCUGUGCGUGCGCGUGCUCGUGAAUCAGGAAACAUGGCGGCGCUCACGUCACUCGGUCAGUUAUCAAGUGGAAACCCUGCAUAUGAGAGCUUCUACAGACAGGUGGAUCCGGGAAACACUGGGAAAGUGGGCGCCGCAGAAGCUGCUCAGUUCUUGAAGAAAUCAGGGCUUUCGGACAGCACAUUGGGACAGAUCUGGGAUCUGUCAGACCCGGAGAGAAAAGGUUACUUGGAUAAAAAGG
Long non-coding RNA from Sinocyclocheilus grahami, 257 nucleotides. RefSeq lists it as uncharacterized. The transcript is spliced from 4 exons. Lineage: Eukaryota; Metazoa; Chordata; Actinopteri; Cypriniformes; Cyprinidae. The record is from RefSeq and is a predicted model, not a curated record.